This 291-nucleotide long non-coding RNA is filed under the name Elaeis guineensis (African oil palm). RNAcentral's name for it is "long non-coding RNA (EGUI_LNC042873)". The record is from RNAcentral. Lineage: Eukaryota; Viridiplantae; Streptophyta; Magnoliopsida; Arecales; Arecaceae.
CUACAGCAAAUGACUGUCGCCUGCAACAUCAGUGCCCAAGGCACCCGACAACAGUGGACUCGUCAGUAACCUCAAAAACAUUCGAGCUUUUUUUAGAUUACUGAGACAGAGAGCCAUUCCACUCCAUCAGACGUCCCAGCUGAGCUUUGGGCGUCAGGCCCGAACUCUCCGACAAGUUACGACAACGGACACCACUCCACUUUUUGCAGCAGAUUCCACGUGGUUUCACCACUCUCUGGCAAGUCACGACAAUGGACACCACUCCAUUCUCCAUAACAAACUCCACGUGGC